UGAAAUUUAAAAAAAACCCAACUUAGAAGGAUUGUUCAGGGUCUUAAAAUACUAUUUUGAGUUAUUAUUGAAUCAUCAAGGUAUUCUUAAAAUGAUAAGUAUUACAAUUCCAAGAGGUAAGUAUUAUAGAAUAACUUGGUUGGGUACCUAUGUAGUUUCAUAAGUUUGUUUUAAAGCAAAUGAGGUAGUUUUAAGUGAGUGAACUACUAAAUUGAGUAAGUUCAUAAAAUAAUGAAAUUUUUAGGUAGUGGAGUUCAAUCCAUGUGGAUAACUGACAUUACUUAAGUUUUGCCCUAUGGUAGAGAUAACAGGUAGUAUCAUACAAUGGAGAAUAAAAAAGUUGGAAAAUGGAGAUGAGAUUUGUUUUCUCCAGACUUGUCUGUCACCUAUAAAUUCUUCAAGAGUUACAAUAAGUUAAAAAUAUCCAUAUAAAAUUUGUUAAAAUUCUCCCUGAAUUAAAGGUUGGGUAUCUUAUAAUAAAGACAGUGACAGACGAGGAAAAGAAAAACAGAACUUGUUCAGAAUCUUCAGUUACUUUUAAUGGGUAAUGACUACUAAGUUCUAAGGCAAUCCAAGAAAUAUUUACUGAUUGAAUGAACACAUGUAUCAGUGAAUGAGAAAGAGGUUAGCUGGGAGAAAGAUACAGAAUGGUGAUUAUUCAUCAUAAAGUCUGCAGAUAUAAACAUG
RNAcentral lists this long non-coding RNA (687 nucleotides) under Bos taurus (domestic cattle). RNAcentral's name for it is "long non-coding RNA NONBTAT012167". Lineage: Eukaryota; Metazoa; Chordata; Mammalia; Artiodactyla; Bovidae. The record is from RNAcentral.